This 1258-nucleotide ribosomal RNA is filed under the name Rhizophagus sp. MUCL 43196. RNAcentral describes it as "28S ribosomal RNA". It matches the Rfam family "Eukaryotic large subunit ribosomal RNA", at positions 34 to 1145 of the family's 3401-position model. Lineage: Eukaryota; Fungi; Glomeromycota; Glomeromycetes; Glomerales; Glomeraceae. The record is from RNAcentral.
UUAAGCAUAUCAAUAAGCGGAGGAAAAGAAAAUAACAAUGAUUCCCCUAGUAACUGCGAGUGAAGAGGGACAAGCUCAAAUUUUAAAUCUAUCGGGUUUUACCCGAUCGAGUUGUAAUUUGAAGAAGCGUUUUCUGCGUUUUUGGUCAGCCCAAGUCCUAUUGAAUGAGGCAUCAUGGAGGGUGAUAAUCCCGUCCGGUUGAUCAUUUGCGUUUUACGAUACGCUUUCUAAGAGUCAAGUUGUUUGGGAUUGCAGCUUAAAAUGGGAGGUAAAUUUCUCCUAAGGCUAAAUAACGGCGAGAGACCGAUAGCGAACAAGUACCGUGAGGGAAAGAUGAAAAGAACUUUGAAAAGAGAGUUAAACAGUACGUGAAAUUGUUGAAAGGGAAACGAUUGAAGCCAGUCGUACCUUCGGGUAAUCAGCUUUUCGGGUGCGAUUCUGUGGAGUGUGAUGAGCUUAACACCUUCAUGCUUUGCAUAUUUGUGCUCUUGGGUGUACUUGCCCGUGUGGUUGGUUAACAUCAAUUUUGGUUAUCAUAAAAUGAUUGGAGGAAUGUAGCUUCGAUCUCGUAUUGAAGUGUUAUAGCCUUCGGUAGAUGUGAUGAACGAGAUUGAGGAUUGCAACGGAUACCCUUCGGGGCUACCUGUCUGGUCUCUGAUCGUUGUUCUGGUGCCGAAAGCUUGCUUACGGUCAUCAAAGUCGAUGGUCAAUAGGUUAGAACGGGUUAAAUUCGUUAAGGAUGUUGACGUAAUGGCUUUAAACGACCCGUCUUGAAACACGGACCAAGGAGUCUAACAUAUAUGCGAGUGUUAGGGUGAUUAAACCCUUACGCGUAAUGAAAGUAAUUUUGGUGGGAACAUUUUUGUGCACCAUCGACCGAUCAGGAUAUUUUUUGAUAGAUUUGAGUAAGAGCAUAUCUGCUAGGACCCGAAAGAUGGUGAACUAUGCCUGAAUAGGGUGAAGUCAGAGGAAACUCUGAUGGAGGCUCGUAGCGGUUCUGACGUGCAAAUCGAUCGUCAAAUUUGGGUAUAGGGGCGAAAGACUAAUCGAACCAUCUAGUAGCUGGUUCCUGCCGAAGUUUCCCUCAGGAUAGCAGAAACUCGUUAACAGUUUCAUGAGGUAAAGCGAAUGAUUAGAGGCCUUAGGGUUGAAACAGCCUUAACCUAUUCUCAAACUUUAAAUAUGUAAGAAGUUUAUCGUUACUUAAUUGAACGUGAACAUUCGAAUGAUAGUUUCUAAUGGGCCAUUUUUGGUAAGC